This 710-nucleotide ribosomal RNA is filed under the name uncultured bacterium. Its description in RNAcentral is "bacterial SSU rRNA". It matches the Rfam family "Bacterial small subunit ribosomal RNA", at positions 140 to 851 of the family's 1533-position model. The record is from RNAcentral.
UGGACAGCCUUCUGAAAGGAAGAUUAAUACAAGAUGGCAUCAUGAGUCCGCAUGUUCACAUGAUUAAAGGUAUUCCGGUAGACGAUGGGGAUGCGUUCCAUUGGAUAGUAGGCGGGGUAACGGCCCACCUAGUCUUCGAUGGAUAGGGGUUCUGAGAGGAAGGUCCCCCACAUUGGAACUGAGACACGGUCCAAACUCCUACGGGAGGCAGCAGUGAGGAAUAUUGGUCAAUGGGCGAGAGCCUGAACCAGCCAAGUAGCGUGAAGGAUGACUGCCCUAUGGGUUGUAAACUUCUUUUAUAAAGGAAUAAAGUCGGGUAUGCAUACCCGUUUGCAUGUACUUUAUGAAUAAGGAUCGGCUAACUCCGUGCCAGCAGCCGCGGUAAUACGGAGGAUCCGAGCGUUAUCCGGAUUUAUUGGGUUUAAAGGGAGCGUAGAUGGAUGUUUAAGUCAGUUGUGAAAGUUUGCGGCUCAACCGUAAAAUUGCAGUUGAUACUGGAUAUCUUGAGUGCAGUUGAGGCAGGCGGAAUUCGUGGUGUAGCGGUGAAAUGCUUAGAUAUCACGAAGAACUCCGAUUGCGAAGGCAGCCUGCUAAGCUGCAACUGACAUUGAGGCUCGAAAGUGUGGGUAUCAAACAGGAUUAGAUACCCUGGUAGUCCACACGGUAAACGAAGAAUGCUCGCUGUUUGCGAUAUACUGCAAGCGGCCAAG